RNAcentral lists this unclassified non-coding RNA (251 nucleotides) under uncultured fungus. RNAcentral describes it as "sequence contains ITS1, 5.8S rRNA gene". The stretch from base 203 to 251 matches the Rfam family "5.8S ribosomal RNA", at positions 1 to 49 of the family's 154-position model. The record is from RNAcentral. Lineage: Eukaryota; Fungi.
UUUCCGUAGGUGAACCUGCGGAAGGAUCAUUACAGAGUUAGGGUCUCACGGCCCGACCUCCCACCCUUUGUCGUCGAAUAAUCUCGUUGCUUUGGCGGGCCGGUCUCACGGCCGGCCGGGACUCACCUCCCGGCCAGCGCCCGCCAGAGGUCAAUCAAACGCUCGUCGAAACGUUCGUCAGAGUCUAAAAUUAAAUCGUUAAAACUUUCAACAACGGAUCUCUUGGUUCUGGCAUCGAUGAAGAACGCAGC